AGACAUUUCACAUCCAUAACUUAUGGAAGUUUCAAAACUCUGAAGAUCAUAACUUUAAAAAAACUUUUGAGUUCCAUAAUUUUAUGACAAAGNAAUUUGUAACUCCUUAAAACCACUUAGAUCAAACUUUUAAAACAAAUAAAAUAAUCAUAUCAUUCUAUCUUUUAAUAAAUUGACCUAAUUCAACUCUUGUAGUAAAGUGACUCAAAUUUUACAAAUAAUUAGUUUUUCAUAAAAUCAAGUAAUUAUCAUAAAAUUUGACAAACUUCAUGUUUUUUUUUUCUUUUUUUUUUCCAUCAAAUUGAAAAAAAAUACAUUUGCAUCAAAUAUAGUAGAAAACAACCCAUGGCUCUGAUACCACUGUUGGGUUUUGGUAUAAUACAACAUCCUAUGGUGCACAUACAAACCUAAAUACCUUGGAUCUAUGUUUUCACUAAUUAUACAUGCAAAUGGUUUCCAAGGCAUUAAACCUAUAACUAGCAUGCAUUUGACAUAAACCAUAUAAUAUACUAGUUAGGGAAACAUACCUUUUAUGUGGCUUGAAGUCUUGAUGUAUUUGGCCUUAAGAGCUUAGCACCAAUAGUAUGAAAUGCCUCAAAUGGAAUCACAACACACCUAGGACAAAGGUGGCUCUUGAGAGAGAAUUCCAUGCACCAAAACACCUCCAUAUUUCUUUAAGAAAAGAAGUGGUGAUUUUGGCUAUGGGGUAACCUAUUUAUAUGUACUUAUAAUAUAUUAAUAAACCAUAAAUAACCUUCUCUCAAAAGUCCAUCCUAACAAAUUGUCCUGAUGAUAUGCAACCCAAAUGGACCAUGCUACUCUCGGGUCAAGUACAUACCAAUAAUAGUUAAGGGCUUAGACAUCUAAUCCAACAGAGGCAACCCCGGUGAUUUUCGGGUCAAUCAAGGAAGGGAUUAUUGAGUUGAUGAAGGAUCGCCUCAGGGCGUUUAGGAGUGACUGGGUGUCUAGCCAGUCAAGGUCGCACACACUAUCCUUCAAGGACUUCGGGGGGAGUGGUGUGUUGGAUUUCCAUGGGGUGAAGGACCCCAUUGUUGCCAGGAGAUGGAUUGCGGACAUGGAGUCUGCUCAGUUAAAAAGCUUCUUCCCUAAGGGGUCGAAGGUCCGAUAUGUUGCGGCAUGUGUGAGAGACAGAGUCAGAGAUUGGUGGGAGUCAGUUGGUGACUCUUUAGGAGCAUCAUCUAUUGAGUCUAUGAAUUGGUUGGACUUUGUGACCAGGUUUAGGGCUGAGUUUGCGUUGGUUAUGUAGCUUCAACAGCUGGCCAGCGAGUUUCUUGACAUGAGAUAGACUAUUGAGAUGGUUGCGGAGAUUACCGCCAAGUUUCUGGAGAGGGACUUAUUGGUGCCUCAGUAUGCAGGAGAUGAGGAGAUGCGGAAGACCCGCUAUCAUGACAUCUUGAGGGCUGAUAUCCGUAAGCAUGUAAGCUACUCAGCAUGCCCGACCCUGGAUUCUAUGAUUUCCAGGGCAAGGGAGAGGGAGAUUGACUUAGAGCGCCUCAGGAAGAGGAGGGCAGAGACGGAGCAGGUUACUGGGGCUUUAGGGAAGAAUCCCAAGGGACCCGACACUAGGUCGAAGGGCCUGUCGGGCCAUAGCCGCUACAAGAAAUGCGACAGGCCGCAUGAGGGAGCUUGUAGAUUGGGAUCAUCGGGCUGCUACAAGUGCAGCAGGACUGGGCACUUUGGCAGGGAUUGUACUGCCCUUACCCCCAUCAUUCAAACAUCAGACCUGAUUUGCUUUCAUUACAAUCAGAAGGGCCAUAAAAAUUCCAACUGCCCAAGACUGACAGCAGAAGCAGCGCCAGUGGUGACGCCAGAUCCAGCGGCCCAGCGGAUCAUUGAUGGCCGGUAGGGCAAGACAGAGGCUCCAGUGGUGAGGAGCCAAGCCUUCCAGUUGACUACUGAGGAGGCACGCGCCGUACCCAAUGUGGUGAUGGGUAUGAUUUCUUCUCCCUAGCUCUUAUUAUAUGUUGCUUAUGAUAUUUAUGUGCCAUGUUAUGUGUUUUGUUUAGGAUCGCUCCAUGUGAACGGUAUUCCAGUUCAGGUGUUGUUCGAUUCGUGUGCUACACGAUCAUUUUUCUCUCUUGCACUUAGCAAGAGGUUCCCUGAGUCUUUGGGCAUGUUGGAUUGCCUUCUAGGGGUCGAGAUUGCUGACGACCGGUCAGUUCGAGCAUCAGAGGUUUUCAGGGAUUGUGUUUUGAGGUUGUUCGAGGAGCGCUACCUGGUAGACAGUGUUGGAUAAGGUGUCUAAGUCCAUAACUUUAUUUGGUAUAUACUUGAACCGACCCAGCAUGGUCCAUUUGGGUUGCACUUCACCCGAACUAUUUAUGGUUAAACCUUUGAGAAUUGUAUGUUUAUGAUUUGUUAAUAGAUUGUAAGUUAUAAUAUACUAAUAUGAAAUCAUAUUAUUUAAUUAGUAUUGAUCAUAGAUAAGUUUAGAAUUAAUUUGGUGAUAAAAAAGGUGACUAGUUAAAUAUGGGCUCUUGUAUUUAUAUAAGUGUGGGCUAAUACUCAUUUGGAAUGGGCUUGGCAUGCAUGGGAGUCCAUGGAUAGUCCAUAGAGCUUUUAACCCAUGGAUCCUUGUAAAGGAAGAGUCAUGGGUAUUAGGGUUUACAUGGAUGUAACCCUAAUCCUCCAUACUAUAUAAAGGAGCUUGUGAUGCUUGAAAUGGUACUAGUUGUGUGUGUAAAAAGUGGUGGCCGAUUUCUAUAAGCUACAUACACUCUCAUAAGGUUUUUCCAAGUUUGUGGUUAUUUGUGAUUUCCAUUUGAGGCAUUCACAUUAUUGGUGCUAGGCCCGGAAACUCCAAGGAAUCAACUCACAAAUUGAAAGGUAUGUAAUUCUUCUAGCCAGUAUGUUUAAUGUUCCCCAUGCCAUGCUAGAUAGGUUAUGAACCUUGGAAAAACAAAGUUGCAUGUAUUCUUAGUAAAACAUAGAUCCAAGGUUUUAGAGUUUCAUGAACACCUUAGGAGUGUUAGAUUGCUCAAAACACAACCGUGGUAUCUGAGCCUAUGAUUUUUUUCUUGAAUACUUGAUGCAAACUGUUGAAAAGUCGUAAAAUUGAGCUGUCUGGGCAGUAGACUCGACGAGUCCAAGCACAAAUUCAUUCUACUCGUCGAGUAGGUUCCUGCACUCGACAAGUAGGAGACACAAAAUGCAGUUUUUCAACUUUUGUUGCUGGAAAUGGACUAGAAACAUUACCCUAAACUGUUUUGAUGUUUUAAAACCUGUUUUAGAUGGUGUAAUGGUUGUUCUAAUCCAUUUACAAUGGCUUACAUCAAAAUUCCAUGUUUUAUAUGUUUUCAUAUGAUUCUUUAAAUUUUGAUAUGAUAUGCAUGUUCUUAUGAGUUAUUGUUAGAUCAUAUGAAUUACUUGCUAAAUUGUUUAAUGAUUAAUUCUUGAUCAAUUAUGUGUUUUAAUGGAAUCCAUAAUUUGUCCUCAAGUUGUGGAUUUCCAAAGGUCACCUCUUUUAAUGAACAUUUAAACACAUAAGUUACAUAAAAAUGAAGAGUCUUCACUUUUAUGAACCCUUAACUUAUAAGUUAUGAAACGAAAAGUUUUGAAGAGUUUAAAAACUUGCCCUCAAGUCUUGGAAUUUGUAAAGACACACACAAUUUAAAUUGCAACCCUUAGGAUUUUAAAAGUUAAAAUUCAACCCUUAUACUACUAUAAGGUUAAUGGUNUAAUGGUUAAUUAUUAUAUAUAUGUAUAAGAAUAAGUCGUUCUACCGUUAGUAGGCCUCAUUCACGAAGCCGGUCUAUAAGGUGGGUAUAAGGUUGUUGCCUAUAAAAUGGCAACUUAAUGGGUGUCCACUCUCACCCACCGCUUGCUUGAUCGGUGGAGGGUCGUUAGCCGAACGGGUAGGACAAUGAAUUUGAUUCUCAUUAAAAGUAUAAUGAUUAUUAUAAAGUAACUAAUUGUUUUAGUAAUUCCCAAUCUUAGUUACUUUGGGAAAAUGUGAAAAGGUGCUAACCCAUGAAAUUCACACUUUGUACCUUACCAAGUCGUUGGUGGAGCGUGUGUGGUUAACCGGCACAUUAACUUGGAUUAGUAAGGAUAACAAAGGGUGACUUAACGUUUAUCAUAGAUCGGUGGAGCGUGUGUGGUUAACCGGCACAUCGAUUAGGUGAUAAUAUUAAGGGUACCAAGUGAAUUUGCAUGGUUAUUUACACCUUGUUUUGUGAUCCUCGGCAUCCCAGUCACAAAACUUGAAGGGCACACUCGAGAUUGAAACAUGCCAUUGAAAAGUUCAAUGAAUCUCAAAAGAAUCUAGGAAUUUCAAACCAAUUAAACCUAAUAAUUCAUUUCGUUUUCAUGGUGGAAAUUAGUGAAUCGUCAUUCACCUACCUUCAAAUAUGUUAUAGCUUAGAUUACGGCAUCCCUCUUCUAAGUUAUAAUAUAUUGUGUUGGGUCCUAGCCUUAAUAUUACAUUUGGGUGUCUUAUUAAGGACUCUAUAUAUCUAAUCUAAACUUGUCUUUCUUCUUUUUAGAUGUCUUCCAACAAUGCUUCAGGUUCUAACCCUACUGGCUCUUUCUCUCUCAUGAACCUUUGUGGGAGAGUCAUCUUCGAUGGUUCCAACUUUAUGGAUUGGAUCUGGAACAUCAAGAUGGUCACUCGUUACGAGGACAAUGAAUAUGUCCUCGACAAGGAGCUUAAGGAUCUUGAGCCGACUGCAACUCCUAAGGAGGUCGCUGCAUAUGAGGCACAUAAAAGAGAUGCUACCAAAGUGGCAUGCAUCAUCAUGGCCACUAUGACAGCCGAGCUCCAAAAGUCCUACGAGGACUACUAUCCUUUUGAGAUGCACCAGGAUUUGAUGGACGACUACCAUCAGAGUGCUCGUCAAGAGUGAUAUGAAAUCAUCUCCUCCAUGAUAACAACCCAAAUGAAGGAUGGUGAACCCAUCACGGGCCACAUGCAGAAAAUGCAAAGGUAUGUGGACCGUUUGCAGAAAUUGAAUGUGAACUUCCAUGAGGAGUUGGCAAUUGACAUCAUUUUGCACCCCUUACCUUCGUGUUAUGAUCAAUUCCACAUGGCAUACCACAUGAACAAGGAGGAAGUCACCCUCAGCAAGCUUCAAGGACUUCUGAAGACCGCCGAAAGUAGUCUUAAAGGUAAGUCGGUUGUUACUACUCCUACUCCUACAUCUACCCCUAUUUUGGCCAUUAGGAAAGGCAAAGGGAAGAUGAGGAAGACCCGUUCGAAGGGUACCAAGGGAAAGUCUCUUGAUGGCUCCUCGUCAAUUGGAACCAAAGGUGGUUCUGCUACUCCUGCCAUCCCUAAGGAUGUUGAUUGUUGAAUGCUUCUAUUGCCAGAAAAAGGGGCACUGGAAGCGAAACUGCCCAAAGUACUUGCAGAUGUCAAGGAUGGGAAAGUGAAACCAUCCCAUGCAGGUAUUUACACUAUAUUGUCUAAUAACUCACCAUAUUCUAACUCUUGGGUCCUUGAUACAGGUUGUGGUAUUCACAUAUGUUGUGAUUUACAGGGCCUAAUAACAAGCGAGGAUGUGGAGCACAGGAAGAUAAACUUAAUCAUGAAGAAUAGGAAGGCUUCACCUAUUACCAAGAUUGGAGUUUAUACUUUGUUGCGAAGUAGUGGGUUAAAGUUAGAUUUAAAUAAAUGUGUUUACUCGUCCGAAAUGGCAAGGAAUAUUAUUUCCUUUCAUAGUUUGUACAAACAAGGGUUCACCUUUUCUUUUGAUAAUGAAAUUGGUAGUAUUAAUGCUUUCUUUAAUAAUGUUCUUUAUUUUAAAGCAUUACCUUGUGAUGGUGUGUAUGAAACUGUGUCGAUUGUAGACAACUUAGGAAAUAAUGUGUUGUAUAUUGAUUCUUCUACUAGCUUGGAUAAAGCAUCAUUGUGGCAUUGUCGUCUUGAACAUAUAAACAAGAAACGCAUAGGCCAGCUCCAAAAGGAUGGAGUCUUGGAAUCAUUUGACCUAAAGUCAUAUGAUAGUUGUGAAUCUUGUUUACUUGGGAAAAUGACAAAAUCACCCUUCACUGGUUCUUGUGAAAAGGAUGAGGGUUUGUUGGAUCUUAUACAUACUGAUGUAUGUGGACCCUUCAAAACCGCCACAAGGGAUGGUAAUCGCUAUUACCUAACUUUACUGAUGAUUAUAGUAGAUAUGGUUAUAUCUACUUAAUCAAGCAUAAGUCAGAAACUUUUGAAAGGUUUAAAGAGUUUAAACAGGAAGUCGAAAAUCAAUUGGGAAGGAACGUUAAGAUGCUUCGAUCCGAUCGAGGUGGUGAGUAUCUUAGAACAAAGUUCCUCGAAUAUCUAAAGGAGUGUAGGAUUGUCUCACAAUUGACACCUCCCAGGACACCACAUCUGAAUGGUGUGGCUGAAAGGCAUAAUCGGACCUUGUUGGACAUGGUUUGCUCCAUGAUGAUUCGAGCUUCGCUACCAAUCUCUUUUUGGGCUUAUGCUUUAGAGACAGCCGCCCAUAUCCUUAAUUUAGUCCCUACAAAGAAGGUUGCCAAAACACCUUAUGAGAUGUGGACUGGGAAAGUUCCCAAAUUGGACCACAACAAGAUUUGGGGUUGCGAUGCUUUUGUGAGACGCAAGACUCAUGAUAAGCUUGAACCUCGAAGUGGGAGAUGUAUUUUCAUCAACUACCCACAUAAAUCCUUUGGUUACCUCUUCUACAGACCCAGUAAGAAUGUGGUCUUUGUGCCAUAGACAGGGCUCUUUUGUGAAAGAGAUUCAUGAGCCAAGGAAAUAGUGGGAGGCAAAUUGACCUUGAAGAACUUCAAGAGUCAAGUGAUGAAGGAACCUCAAAUCCUAGCAAUCAACCUGAGGAGGAAACUCUUGUUGAUCCGUCUGACGAGUCUGUACCUCUGAGGCGUUCCACGAGAGUUAGGAAUGUACCUGACCAUUACUAUGGUUUCCAUAUUACUGUAGAAGGCGAUACACUUAUCGGUGAUAGCACACUGGUAAAUCUGAAUGAACCUAACAGCUACAUGGAAGCCAUGGCAGGCCCUGAGUCUUCUAAAUGGAAAGAGGCUAUGGACAAUAAGAUACAGUCCAUGUAUGACAAACAAGUUUCGAACUUGGUGGACAAUGUACCAGGUCGUAAGACAGUCGGGUGCAAAUGGAUCUUUAAGAAGAAGACCGACAUGGAUGGUAAUGUACACCCUUAUAAGGUGCGACUGGUUGCAAAGGGCUUUUCUCAAACUCCGGGAGUUGAUUAUGAUGAGACCUUUUCAUCGGUAGCAAAGAUUAAGUCUAUUAGGUUUAUGUUAGCCAUUGUUGCAUUUCAUGACUAUGAAAUAUGGCAAAUGGAUGUCAAAACCUCUUUCCUUAAUGGGAAGUUGGCUGAAGAUGUUUACAUGAGUCAGCCAAAGGUUUUUGUCAGUACAAAGCACCAAAAUAGAAUGUGUAAGCUUGAGACAUCCAUCUAUGGAUUGAAACAAGCACCUCGCAGAUGGAAUCUUUGUUUCGAUGAGAAAGUCAAAGAGUUUGGCUUUUCAAUAAGCGAAGAUGAGUCUUGUGUUUAUGUCAGAGCUAGUGGGAGUAUAGUUAGCUUCUUGGUGUUGUAUGUGGAUGACAUACUACACAUAGGAAAUGACAUCCCAACUUUCCAGGAAGUGAAUUCAUGGCUUGGGAAGUGUUUUGUUAUGAAGGACCUUGGGGAGACUAUCUAUAUCCUAGGGAUAAGGAUAUUAAGAGACAGGAGUAAAAGGCUAAUUGGAUUUAGUCAGAGUACCUACUUGGAUAAGAUGUUGAAAAGGUUCAACAUGCAGAAUUCCAAGAAAGGAGAAUUACCGAUCCAAAGCAAUGUCAAACUGAGCAAGACUUAGAGCCCGAGUACAGAGGCUGAGAUAGCUGAGAUGAGUCGAUUGCCAUAUGCUUUUGCUGUUGGCUUGAUCAUGUAUGAUAUGACUUGUACCCGCCCUGAUGUGUCCUUUGCUUUGAGCAUGGUCAGCAGAUAUCAGGGGAACCUUGGCAAGGCUCACUGGACUACAGUAAAGAAUAUUCUUAAGUACCUGCAGAGGACUAAGGAUUGGAUUCUUACCCUUGGUGGGAGUGAUGACUUGAGAGUAGUAGGGUAUAGUGAUGCUAUCUUUCAGACUGAUACGGAUAACUUCCGCUCUCAGUCGGGCUGGGUCUUUACCCUAAAUGGAGGGGCAAUCACUUGGAAGAGUUCCAAGCAGGAGACAGUAGCUGAUUCGACUUGUGAAUCAGAGUACAUAGCAACGAGUGAAGCGGCAAAGGAGGCGAUAUGGCUGAAGAACUUCAUCGGAGACCUUGGAGUUGUACCAUCUAUUAAGGAGCCUAUGGAGAUUUUCUGUGACAGCAAUAGUGCGGUUUCCUUAUCCAAGGAACCGAGAGAUCUUGGAAGAUCCAGACACAUUAACAGAAAAUAUCACUUCAAAAGACACAAGAUAGAAGAAUGACUCCUCGUGGAAAAGAAGGUAUCAUUAGAAGAGAAUCCUGUAGAUCCCUUACAAAGGGACUGACGAGGGUUAGGCACUUACAGCAUGUGAGACGCAUAGGGCUGAAGGAUGAUAUUACUUUUACAGAUUAGAUAGCUAUUUCUGAAAGUUGUAAAAUGUAAUCGACAUUUGAUGAUGAAUAAAAGGUGUAUUUAUUUAUGAGUAAGGUAUUACUGUCUUUUGUCAGUUAUUUACUAUUGUUUCAGCUUUGUAUGUUUUGACUUCCAGAAUAAAUUACUUUAUUCAAACUUCCACAGUCGGUCAUACGUCGGAAGUAGGUAUGAUUAAGACUAUCAUGAAUUGGGCUUGUAGAUCACUAAAGGUGUUUAGCCAUAGCAAUGGUUGCUAUAACAUUCAUGAGUGCUCAUAAGUUUUGAGUAUUGGAAUAAACCCACGCUCAGUGGCAUCACUUCAUGGAAUUUAUCUCGAGUGAUCGUGAGACGGUAAUAUCAAAUAAAUCUUCAAACCUAGAGAUAUGACUUGUUGCCUAUGAGUUGGUUAUACAUUGAUUGUACAUAAAUGCAUUGGUAACUCGAUGUUAUAAAACGUGCCUUUGUGUAUAAUUCAACAAGUAGUAGAACAAACAUAUGAGUCGAAGUUUAUCUGUUCCUUCUUGGAUUAUAAGCGAUAUCUGGGCCCUCGAUGAUUUUUUGUUGACCCAUGUAGCAGGCCCGGUCAGAACUAAGUUGAUGUGUUCAAUUAAGUUCUAUGUCAAACAAAUCAGGAAAUCGAGAAACAAACCGUUGGACAAUAAGUAAGACAUUGUUCCAUGUAUUUGUCCGGCUGAUAUCUAGAACAGAGGAUUAUAUGAUCACUUAUCUAAAAUGGCGCUUCAUAGUUCAACAGAGUUUUGAGAGCUAUGAUUGUCAGUUGGUUCCUGAAGUAAUAUAGGAAAAUAUAGUUAUUAGGCUUAUCCAUGUGGGAGACUGUUGGAUAAGGUGUCUAAGUCCAUAACUUUAUUUGGUAUAUACUUGACCCGACCCGACAUGGUCCAUUUGGGUUGCACUUCACCCGAACUGGUUAAACCUUUGAAAAUUGUAUGUUUAUGAUUUGUUAAUAUAUUAUAAGUUAUAAUAUAUUAAUAUGAAAUCAUAUUAUUUAAUUAGUAUUGAUCAUAAAUUUAUUUAAAAUUAAUUUGGUGAUCAAAAGGUGACUAAUUAAAUAUGGGCUCUUGUAUUUAUAUAAGUGUGGGCUAAUACUCAUUUGGAAUAGGCUUGGCAUGCAUGGGAGUCCAUGGAUAGUCCAUGGAGCUUUUAACCCAUGGAUCCUUGGAAAGCAAGAGUCAUGGGUAUUAGGGUUUAGAUGGAUGUAACCCUAAUCCUCCACACUAUAUAAAGGAGCUUGUGAUGCUUGAAAUGGUACUAGUUGUGUGUGUAAAAAGUGGUGGCCGAUUUCUAUAAGCUACAUACACUCUCAUAAGGUUUUUCCAAGUUUGUGGUGAUCUGCGAUUUCCAUUUGAGGCAUUCACAUUAUUGGUGCUAGGCUCUCAAACUCCAAGGAAUCAACUCAUAAAUUGAAAGGUAUGUAAUUCUUCUAGCCAUUAUGUUUAAUGUUCCCCAUGCCAUGUUAGAUAGGUUAUGAACCUUGGAAAAACAAAGUUGCAUGUAUUCUUAUUAAAACAUAGAUCCAAGGUUUUAGGGUUGCAUGAACACCUUAGGAGUGUUAGAUUGCUCAAAACCCAACAACAAAGUCAUGAUCGGUAUGCAUUGGUUGAGCCCUAAUAGGGUUGUGUUGACUACGCNNNNNNNNNNNNNNNNNNNNNNNNNNNNNNNNNNNCCCCAAGGGGGGGGGGGGGGAGCUGGUGAUUUAGGGCGAGAGGCCAUAGCCUGGACCAACGUUAUGUUCAACAGCGAGGGCUAGACGGUAUCUCCAGCAGGGGUGUGUAGGGUAUGUCGCAUAUGUCAUUGAUACCCAGGAGGCGGGUAAGGUGGCGGUGAGUGAUGUACCAGUGGUGCGAGAGUACGCGAAUGUAUUCCCAGAGGAGUUGCCUGGGAUAUCUUCGGAGAGACAGGUAGUGUUCAGAAUCGACCUGGUCCCUAGUGCGGCUGGGAUAGCCAAGGCACCAUAUCGGUUGGCUACUCUUGAGAUGCAGGAGUUACAAGAUCUGUAAGACAAGGGGUCAUUAGACCGAACAGUGCACCCUGGGGAGCCCCGAUCCUGUUUGUGAAGAAUAAGGACAGGUCGCAUCGGAUGUGUAACGAUUACUGGGAGCUGAAAAAGGUAACAGUAAAGCCGUUAUCCACUCCCGAGGAUUGAUGAUCUCUUCGACCAGCUACAGGGGGCAUCUUGGUUUUCCAAGUUAGAUUUGCGGUCAAGCUACCAUCAGAUGAGGUUCAGAGAUGAGGACAUACAGAAGACUGCUUUCCGGACUCGUUAUGGCCACUACGAGUUCGUGGUGAUGCCCUUCGGGCUCACCAAUGCUCCUGUCGCGUUCAUGGACCUCAUGAACCGUGUGUGCAAACCGAUGUUGGAUCGGUAUGUCAUAGUUUUCAUUGACGACAUCUUGGUCUAUUCCAAGACGCAGGAGCUGCAUGGGGAGCAUUUGUGAGAGGUGUUGGAUACUCUUGGGAGGGAGAGAUUGUAUGCCAAGUUCUUUGGAUAAGGUGUCUAAGUCCAUAACAAUUUCUGGUAUGUACUUGACCUGGUUAGCAUGGUCCAUUUGGGUUGCAUGGCAUCAUGAUAAUUGGAUAGACAAAAUGAGAAGAAGGAAACUUAUGAUUUGUUAAUAUAUUAUAAGUUAUAAUAUAUUAAUAUGAAAUCAUAUUAUUUAAUUAGUAUUGAUCAAGAAUUAAUUUGGAAUUAAUUUUGUGAUAAAAAAGAGAAUAAUUAAAUAUAUGGGGAUUGAUUGUGUAAAUCAUCCAUUCGUAUAUAGUGGGCUUAUGAUCCAUGGUUUAUUGGAUUGGGCUAAAACCCAUAGGGUGCUCAAUGGAGGAUAAAACCCAUAGAUCAUGGAGGAAAUGAAAAGUCAUGUCAAUUAGGGUUUACAUGGUGUAACCCUACUUGUGACACACUAUAUAAAGACCCCAUAGGCUAGNGCAAAAUCGGCACUAAGUGAAGAACAAGGAGGGCUAGCCGAUUUUGAGUGAUAGUGUACUUCUCUCAAAGUUAUUCCAAGAGUUGUGGUGUUGUGUGAAACAUUUGAGGCAUCACAUUUGGGGUGCUAGGCUCACAAAGUUCUUAAGGAAUCCAAGCAACAAGAAAGGUAUAUUCUUCUACUAGCUUUUAUGUUUCAAGUUCCCCAUGCCAUGCUAGUUAGGAUAAGAACCUUGGAAAAAUCAAAUUUACAUGUAUCUUAGUAAAACAUAGAUCCACGGUUUCUAGGGUUGCAUGUACACCAUAUGAGUGUUAGAAUGCUCAAAACCCAUUAGUGGUAUCAGAGCCUAGGCUUGUUUUUCUUGAUACUUGAUGCAAAUUGUAAAAGAAAAUUGAAAAAUUUGCAUUCUGCUAAGUGGACCCACCCAAUCCAUGGGGGGAAUUGAUGAGUCCAUGGGUAUCUUCAUCCUACUCGUAGAGUAGGUUCAUGCACUUGACGAGUAGGAGGCCCAGAGUGCAGUUUUUCGAGUUUUUAGCUGGAAUUGGACUAGAAUCAUUACACUAAACUGUUCUGGACUUAUAAAACCUGUUUUGAUGUGGUAAUGAUUAUGUUAAUCCAAUUUCAAAGGUUAUUAUCAAAAUUUCAAGUUUUAUAUGUGUUUAUAUGAUUCUUGAAAUUGUUGAUAUGAAUGUUCAUACACGUAUGAGUUUGGGAUAAGGUGUCUAAGUCAAUAACUAUUUCUGGUAAGUACUUGACCCGACCCGGCAUGGUCCAUNNNNNNNNNNNNNNNNNNNNNNNNNNNNNNNNNNNNNNNNNNNNNNNNNNNNNNNNNNNNNNNNNNNNNNNNNNNNNNNNNNNNNNNNNNNNNNNNNNNNAGCGCUUGGCGGGAGGCAACCCGUUAUAUAGAGUUUGCUUUCUUUCACUUUUUAGUUUUUUUUAAUUUUUCCUUCGUUUUUUUUUUUAAAUGUUAAUCUUCCAAAUCGUCGGACAUGUCUGCUUGAGAGUGUGCAUGGGCCAAGUGUGGGGUGAAAUGAUUUUAAAUAAAUAACAAAAUUUCGAAAAUUAUGAAUUUUUGCAAGAGACUCACCGAGUCUGACCACGACUCGACGAGUCCAUAUUGAUUUCAGAAAAAGUUUGACUUCGCGACUAGACUCGCCGAGUCUGACCCCGACUCGACGAGUCAGUAUUAUUUACAGAAAAAAAAAAUUUGAAAUUACUUUUACAUCUGGUAACUAGGGUUUUAACCCUAAGAAUCAGUUUUCACAUACAUACUCGCCGGGUGCCCCUCUCUAACUUCCUCUCAAGCAUUCAAGUUUUAUUCAAGUUUUCUUCAAAUUUUCUUCAAAUCUCUCAAGUUCAAACUCAAAAGGUAACAAAUUUCUUCUUGAUUUCUGUUAAGAACGUGAUUAUAAGGCCAUAUAUGGUAGCAAUUGCAUGAAAAACCCGUUUUUGAAAAGUAAUGAAUUUCUAGGGUUUUGAUUGUUCAUGAUUUUUGUUGUUUUGAACGUUUAUUUUGGCCUUAUUACCGUAGUAGUAAGUCCCUAGACAAAACCCUUGACAAAAUUUUCAGGUUUCAUGGCCUAAUUUACAUCGACCCAUCGACUGACUCGUGCAGUUUGCGCGACUUGCCGAGUCAUGCCUGGACUCGACGAGUCGAGUCGGGAUGCAUAUGCGAGAUUGUUUUAAUUAUAUUCUGUGUUUUCUGGGUUUUGGGAUUUUGUUUUGCAGAAAUCAUGUUCAGAAGGGGGCAAACUUCUAGUGGCCACCAAGGGGAUUUUCUGUGGUUAAACUUCCCACAAAUCGAGUCCGCUUCGACAUUGCGGAAAUGGAAGAAGAAGCUGGCUGAUAUCAAGAAGAAGGAGGUCUAUGUGCUCAACCGGAUCGAUUGGGAAUGGUUGCAGUAGGUUCGCUACGAGGAGGAAUUAGCUCCUUAUCUUUUAAAGGAGUUUCAUUAUAAUGGCGAAACCAUGGUGUGUGACGGGUGGAGCCGGGUAUUCCGUAUUCAAGAACCGGUUUAUUUGGAGCUGUGCUUAGAGUUCUUUUCCACGGUGUCUUUCACCGGGGGAGUGGAUGUCUUUCACCCAACAAGCUUCAGUUUCUGCCUUGGGGGAGAAUUUCAUCAAUGGUCAGUGGUGGAUCUUGCAUGCCGAUUGGGGGUUUAUGACCAGCCCUUGAUCUCAACACCCAUUUUUCGGGCCUUUUUGGCACAAACACAUAUGGUAUUUCCCGAAGGAGUUACAAGUGCGGGCUGGUGGAAUACCAUUGGUAAUAAAGUUUAUAUUCCAAAGUCGGCGCAAGAAGGGAGCAUUCGAUCCCCAACACAUCGCCUCAUUCACCGCCUCAUUUCAUCCACCAUCAACCAAUGAAAGGAUGAUGACAAGGUUUCCAACCUUGAAUAUCUUUUUCCUAUGGAGCAUCAUUACACCUGACGUUUUUUGCAACAUUCCUUGGUGUCUUGCUUCAUAUCUUUCGGAUGGUGCGGUUAAAGAUCGCAAGACUUCAAGAAUAAAUGGUGGGAUGUUUGUCACCUGGUUGGCUAACUCAUUCGGGUUGAUGAACCGCGGUGCAUGGAAUUUCAUGACGUUGAUCCCUACACCUCCGUUCAAUCCUAUUCUUUUCCGGAGAACGAGAAUCAUUGAAGACUAUGGUGGUGGCCAUUAUGCCAUUCCAAAUGAUGAUUCGGUGGUUGGUCCCGAGGCGCCGGGAAGACGGGUUCGUUCGAGGAGAGAGCGGGAUAUGGAGGAGGAGCCGCCGGUGAUUCCGGUUGAGAAUGAAGAUGUACCAAUGGAUUGGUACAAUGUGGAGAUGAGGCGACUCCAGGAUCAAAUGGCGAGGGGCUUGAAUUUUAGCAACCAGUCUCAUAUCCGACUUUUUGACCACUUUAACAUUCCACACAUAGAUGGUGGUAACUUUCCAUACAUUCCAACGUGGGAAGAAGUGAUAAGUGCAAGAAGAAGUGGGGCUGGAGGAAGUGGAGUAGGGCUUGAUGAUGAUGAUGAGGAGGAUUGAUUUUUAUGCAUUUUUAUUGAACAAUUUUUAAUUUUGUGUUUGUUUGUUUUAUUUGGUUUGUUUAAUGUUUUUUUUUAAACUUGUUUUUGAUGUUUAAUUAAUGUUUGAUGCUUUGACAAUUUUUCAGAAUUGAAUUAGGAGUGCUAGCUUCAAAAUGGGUUUAGAGUUAUAGAAUCCGAGUGAGAAAGAGAGUCAAGGAAGAGGAGCGUUAGAGUUAAAGUAUUGAGUCCGGUCCUUAGAGAUGUUGGCAAGGGAGUCUAGAAGUAAAAAGAAAGUAUAGAGAGUUUAUUGGAAGUUGGAUUAGAUGCAGAGUUAUAUUAUUUUCAUUCAGUGACCAACUCGUCAAGUGCACUAAACUGACUCGACGAGUCGCCCUUAAUUCUCAAAAAUGCGAAGAUUCCCCGAAGUAACUCGACGAGUCUAGUAUAUACUCGACGAGUCGUUUGGUUUCAUGUCGAAGGGGCUGCUGAUUUGAUGCUAAUUAGAGUACCACUUGACUAUUUACUCUUUCCAUAUUUAUUCUUGAAGAUCUUACACUGUUUUCCGCGUAUUUGGAGCGACCCACACGAGACGAGACACCCAAGGCAUGGAUACCAUGUCUAAAGUCAAUUGAAGUUGGAGCUAAAAUGAAAGUGAUCAACCUAUCCACUGUUAUCCCAGGGGAGUUUGUUCCAAUUCCCUCUUUAGUUUCUUUUUAUGUUUUUAUUAUGCAUAAUAUGCAAUGAGGGCAUUGCAUCAAAUAAGUGUGGGGUAGGGGGUUGGUUACAUAUUAGAAAAUUUAGAGUCUUAAUUUAGGCUAAUUUUAAAGGCUAAUUUUAAAAUUUUGCAUACCAAAAAAAUUACUUAGGAUUUAAAUUAGAAAAUUUUGGUAAAAGAAAUUAGGACUCCAUGUUAGAGUUGUGUUGAUAAUUGCAUGAUAACCCAAAUGUUUAGUUGAGCCUAUAUACGGUCUAGUGCAUUUGUGGCUUCCUUAUUCCAGUGAAAUCAUGGGACAAAAACACGACCCUGCUCAGCCCGAGGGAUGCAAUAUGUUUAGCAGCCUAAACUUGAAAUGUAUCCAGGAAGAUUGUUAUCGUUAGCCAAUAAAGGUUGAGAUUGAGCGCCCCUGCUUAAGCAUGUAGGGAUUUGAGUGAAAAAAAAGUGAGGAAUACAUGUAAAAAGAAAAAAAAAAGAAAGAGAAUUACAAGAGAAAUUAUAUGAAUUUUGGAGCAAUUAAAGUGAAGAUCAAAAGAUCAAAAUUCCAAGAAAUCCAAAAAAGUUGAAGAUACCGAAAAUCAAACAAUAAAGGUGGUGAAUUCAAAGAGAUCAAAGCAAAUAUCGAAGAAGAGAUGAAUUCAAAAGAGCUCCAUAGUGGUAUCAAAAAGUUGUAAUUCUAGAUUAUGUAUGCUCGGGUUGCUCAAUUAAAAACACCUUGAGGGUAAGAGGUUUUCUGCGGAUGGAUUCAGAGGGUUGCAUAAAAUGAGCAUAGUUCGGGGUGAGUGGGCAAGUGUUUAUGAGGAUUGUGAGUAUUUGGAGUAUGGGAGGUUUUUAGGAAAAGUUUAGACACAAAUGCAUGCGUUGCGGUCUUGGCAUAAUGGCUGGGUUAAAUUGGAGUUAUUAUAUAUGAUUCUAAUAUGUUUAAAAUUCAGUUUUGCUUGGGGGCAAGCAAAAGACAAGUGUGGGGUAUUUUGAUAUGUGCAUAAUUAGUUCAUAUUAAGUAUACAUUUUUAUUCAUUUAUUAGCUNNNNNNNNNNNNNNNNNNNNNNNNNNNNNNNNNNNNNNNNNNNNNNNNNNNNNNNNNNNNNNNNNNNNNNNNNNNNNNNNNNNNNNNNNNNNNNNNNNNNNNNNNNNNNNNNNNNNNNNNNNNNNNNNNNNNNNNNNNNNNNNNNNNNNNNNNNNNNNNNNNNNNNNNNNNNNNNNNNNNNNNNNNNNNNNNNNNNNNNNNNNNNNNNNNNNNNNNNNNNNNNNNNNNNNNNNNNNNNNNNNNNNNNNNNNNNNNNNNNNNNNNNNNNNNNNNNNNNNNNNNNNNNNNNNNNNNNNNNNNNNNNNNNNNNNNNNNNNNNNNNNNNNNNNNNNNNNNNNNNNNNNNNNNNNNNNNNNNNNNNNNNNNNNNNNNNNNNNNNNNNNNNNNNNNNNNNNNNNNNNNNNNNNNNNNNNNNNNNNNNNNNNNNNNNNNNNNNNNNNNNNNNNNNNNNNNNNNNNNNNNNNNNNNNNNNNNNNNNNNNNNNNNNNNNNNNNNNNNNNNNNNNNNNNNNNNNNNNNNNNNNNNNNNNNNNNNNNNNNNNNNNNNNNNNNNNNNNNNNNNNNNNNNNNNNNNNNNNNNNNNNNNNNNNNNNNNNNNNNNNNNNNNNNNNNNNNNNNNNNNNNNNNNNNNNNNNNNNNNNNNNNNNNNNNNNNNNNNNNNNNNNNNNNNNNNNNNNNNNNNNNNNNNNNNNNNNNNNNNNNNNNNNNNNNNNNNNNNNNNNNNNNNNNNNNNNNNNNNNNNNNNNNNNNNNNNNNNNNNNNNNNNNNNNNNNNNNNNNNNNNNNNNNNNNNNNNNNNNNNNNNNNNNNNNNNNNNNNNNNNNNNNNNNNNNNNNNNNNNNNNNNNNNNNNNNNNNNNNNNNNNNNNNNNNNNNNNNNNNNNNNNNNNNNNNNNNNNNNNNNNNNNNNNNNNNNNNNNNNNNNNNNNNNNNNNNNNNNNNNNNNNNNNNNNNNNNNNNNNNNNNNNNNNNNNNNGGGCGGCAGUCUCUAAGGCAUACCCCCAGAAAGCUAUUGGUAACGAAGUCCGACUCAUCAUAGAACGAACCAUGUCCAACAAGGUCCGAUUACGUCUCUCAGCCACACCAUUCAAUUGUGGCGUUCUCGGAGGCGUCAAUUGCGAAACGAUUCCGCAUUCUUUUAGAUAGUCGUGAAACUCAAGACUUAGGUACUCUCCUCCUCGGUCUGACCGAAGCAUCUUGAUUUUCCUGCCCAGCUGAUUCUCCACUUCAUUCUUAAACUCUUUGAACUUUUCAAAGGUUUCCGACUUUUGCUUGAUCAAGUAGAUAUAUCCAUAUCUGCUAUAAUCAUCUGUAAAAGUCACGUAGAAGCGGCAAGCAUCCCUUGUGGUGGAUCUAAAGGGCCCACACACAUCGGUGUGUAUGAGAUCCAAUAAACCCUCACCCCUUUCACAAGUGCCAGUAAAGGGUGACUUGGUCAUCUUCCCAAGUAAACAAGACUCACACGUGUCAUCGUCCCUAAGGUCGAAUGACUCCAACACUCCAUCCUUUUGGAGUUGGGCUAUGCGUUUCUUGUUGACAUCAGGUUUUAAACUAAGUGAGUUUGCACACAUCACUAGACUAGUAGACGAAUCAAUAUUCAAAACAUUAUUUCCAAAAUUAUCAACAAUCAUCACAGAUUCAUAAAUCCCAUUACAAGGUAAUGCAUUGAAAUAAAAGACACCAUUCAAAUAAACAUUAAUAGAACCAUUACUAUUAUCAAAAGAAUAUCUGAAACCUUGUCUAAACAACCCAUGAAAAGAAAUAAUGUUUCUUGCCAUAUCUGGCGAAUAACAGCAAUUCUCUAAAUCUAUUCCUAACCCAUUACUUAACACUAAAGAAUAAACACCGACUUUGGUCACAGGCGACGAUCUUCUGUUUCCCAUAAUCAGGUUCAUCUUCCCAUGCUCCAUCUCCCUACUUCUUUUUAGGCCCUGCAAAUCAGAACAAAUGUGGUAACCACAUCCUGUAUCAAGAACCCAUGAAGUAGCAAAUGAUGAGUUAUUAGAUUUAAUAGAAUACAUACCUGCAAAUGUGGGCUUGAUCUUCCCAUCUCUUAUGUCCUGCAGAUAUUGUGGGCAGCUUCGCUUCCAGUGGCCCUUUUGGUGGCAGUAGAAGCACUCUGCUUCUUUAGGGUCGGAAGAGGGUUUAAUGGGGCCAGCUUUGGUCCCACUUGAGGAUGAACCAUCACGGGGUUUCCCCUUAUGGUGGCUCUUACAUGGAGCCUUCCUCUUUUUACCCUUUCCUUGACCUAUCGCCAUCACAGGAGCGGCCACAGCAGGGGACGGUGCAACGGAUUUGUCUUUGAGGUUGCUCUCAGCAGUCCUCAAGAGUCCUUGGAGCUUGCUCAAGGAGACCUCCUCUUUGUUCAUAUGGUAGGUCAUCCUAAACUGAUUGUAGCAGGAGGGCAAGGAGUGGAGGAUUAUGUCGAUAGCCAAAUCCUCAUCAAACUUAACAUUAAGUUUGAGAAGACGAUCAACAUACCUCUGCAUUUUCUGCAAAUGAGAGGUUAGGGAUUCUCCACUCCCCAUCUUAGCGGUGAUCAUGCUAGUAAUGAUCUCAUAGCGCUCUUGCCUCGCGCUCUGGUGAUACCUGUCCAGCAAAUCCUGAUGCAUUUCAUAUGGAUACAUGUCCUCAUAGGACUUUUGGAGUUCGAGGUUCAUGGUGGCCAGCAUGAUGCAGUGAACUUUCGUGGCAUCACGCUCGUGGGCCUCAAAGGCGGCCAGUUCCUCAGGAGUAGCAACAUCUGGGAUGAUCUUCUCAAGCUUUUCAUCGAGGACAUAUUCUUUGUCCUCGUAGCGUGUGAUCAUGCGAAUGUACCUCAUCCACUCGUUGAAGUUUGAACCAUCAAAUGUCACUUUCUGACACAAGUUCAUCAACGAGAAUGACCCAGAAGCGUUGUUGUUGUUGUUGUUAGCAGACAUCUGAAAAAGAAAGGAACAAAGUUUGAUUAGAAAUGAAUCCCUAAUUAAACACCCAAAUGAGAAAUUAGGGCUAGGAUCCAACAACAUUAUUUACAACUUAGAAAGGGAUGUCGUACUCUAAAAGUAAAUAAUUUGAAGGUAAGUGAAUGACGAUUCACUAAUUCUCACCAUGAAAAACGAAAAAGCAAUUUAGGUUUUAAAUGUAUUGAAAACUCCUAGAUCUUUGAGAUUCAUUGAACUUUUCAAUGGCAUGUUUAAAUCUCGAUAUGCAUUUCAAAUUUGCGACUGGGAUGCCGAGGAUCGCAAACAAAUUUGUGAAUAACCAUGCGAAUUAACGUGGUGCACUCAAUGUCAUUAUCACCUAAUCAAUGUGCCGGUAAACCACACACGCUCCAUUGAUCUAUGACAAACAUCGAGUCACCCUUCGCUACCUAUGUCAUCCCCAAAUUGAUGUGCCGGUUAACCACACGCGCUCCAUCAACGUUUGACAAGGGUACGAAGUGUAAUUCCAUGGAUUAGCAUCAUUUUCACAUUUUACCCUAAAGUAACUAGGAAUGGGAAUUUGUAAAAACAUGUAGUUACUUUAUAUUCAACAUUAUACUUUUAAUGAGGAGAGAGUUUCCCUAUCCUACCCGUUCGGCUAACGACCCUCCACGAGUCAAGCAAGCGGUAGGUAUGAGUGUACACCUAUUAAGCGCCAUUCUAUAAGCAGCAACCUUAUACCCACCUUAUAGACCGGCUUCGUGAAUGAGGCCUACUAACGGUAAGACUAGCAUUUAAGUUAUAUAUAUAUAUAUAUUAAUUAAGCUUGUAAUAAUAUAUAAUAGUAUAGGGUUGAAUUUUAAACUUGUAAAAUUCUAAGGGUUUGAAAUUUAAAUUAUUCAAAAUUAAACUUUUAAUUACAAAAUUCAAAUUUCAAAACUUGAGGGCAAGUUUUGAACUUUUCAAAACAUAAGGGAUCAAAUAACAAAUAAUUCAAAUUAACCAAUUAAUUUCAUAAUUAUAUAUAUUUGACCUAAUCUUAAUUUUAGUCAUUAGAUAAUUACCAAAUAAUUUUUAAAUAAUCCAUAUUUAUCACAUAAAUAACUAAUAUUUAAAAAGAUUUGAAAUUAUCUAUUCUUUUGGCAAGGAUAAACACUUAAUAUAGAUAAAAUUCGGAUUUUAACUUCAUAAAACAAUUAAGCAUCAAGUCCAAGUCAAAACAGCAGCCAAAAACCCGAAAAACCCUAAUUCUGACGAACUGACUCGCCGAGUCAGGCCUGGACUCGCCGAGUAGGGGCCAACUCGCCGAGUCCAGGUAGUGACUCGCCGAGUUGAGUCGGGCAGGGACCAAAAAUCGUUUUCUCAGCAAAUAAAGCAGUUAAGCAUCACAUACAACUGAAACCAAUCAAAGCUCUGAUACCACUGAUGGGUUUUAUGCAUAAGAAACAUUCCUAUGUGCUCAUACAAACCCUAAUGCUUGGAUCUAGGUUUCACUAUUGAACAUGCUUUGAUUCCAAGACUUACAAACCCUAAUCUAGCAUAUAAACAACAUAACUAACAUAUAGAAUCAGAUCUAGAUGUUUACCUCUUCAAUUGUUGGCUUAGAUCUUGUAUAUCUUCUUCUUUUGAGCCUAGAGUCACAAAUGCAACUCCUCUAAUGGUUCACAAACCCCACAAGCAAGAAGGCAAUAUGAGAGAGGGAGAGGGAGGCUAGAAUUCGGCCUAGGGUACUCUUGGAAUCAAGUGGUAGCCGAAUUCAUGCCCUAGGGGUCAUAUUUAUAGUUACAGAUUACUAGGGUUUCACUCUAAACCCUAAUGGACAGCUUAACCACAAAGCAGCCCAUGGAACCUUCUGGAAUAAGGCCCUUGGACGAAAAUAUGAUGGUUACCCAUCAUAAUUUCGUUCCCCCUUAAGCCCAUUAGGUUUCCUUAACCUAAAACUCAACUAUCACACAUUUGACAGUUUAUACCCCUUUAUUCAAUUAAUCUCUUUUGACCACUAAAUUAAUUCCUAAUUAAUUUAUGAUCAAUACUAAUUAAAUAAAUAUGAUUUCUCCUUUAAUAUAUUAUUCUUAUAAUAUAUUAAUAAAUCAUAAUACUCUCUCUUUCUCCUUAAAUUACCUUGUCAAGUUGCUACGGAGAAGGCAACCCAAAAGGACCAUGCACAACCGGGUCAAGUACGUACCACAUAUAGUUACGGGCUUAGACACUAUUCCAACAAACCCAUGGAUCAAGAAAUGAAGAGUCAUGGAACAUUAGGGUUUACCUAAUGUCACACACUAUAUAAGCAAUGUAACUUUCCCCAAAACCGGCUACACUAAGAAACAAGAGGGCUUGGCCAAUUUUGCAUGUGUUAGAGUAUUCUCUCAAGUUUAUUCUUUGCAUUUGGUGUUGUGUGAAGCAUUUGAGGCAUCACACUUGAGGUGCUAGGCUCACAAGGUUUCAAGGAGCACUUUCAACAACAAGGUAUGUAGUUCUAUCUUUUAUACAAAGAAAAUUGUACCCCAUGUAUGCUAGAUAGGUUCAUAACCUUGGAAAACAACUUUGCAUGAUUAUUAGACAAACAUAGAUCCAAGGUUAUUAGGGUUGCAUGUACACUUAGGAAGUGUUAGAAUGCUCAAAACCCAUCAGGUAGAUCAUAGGAAUUAUUUGCAAAUUGUUUGUUAGUUUAAUUCUUGAAUUAAAUGUUUUAAUGCAGUCCAUAAUUUGUCCUCAAGUUAUGGAUUACCAAAAGUCUUCUCUUUUAAAGUCCAUUAAAGAAUACAUAGGUUACAUAAAAUGAAGAGUCUUCAUUUUAUUAACCAUUAACUCAUAAGUUAUGAAGUUGAAAAGUUUUGAAUAGCUAUAAAACUUUCCCUCAAGUUUUGGAACAUGUAAAGUCACUUUAGAAAACUUUAGUUUCAACCCCUAGAAUUUUAAAAGUUAAAAUUAAACCCUUAUACUUUAUAGUAUUAUAAGUUAAUAAUAUAUAUAUAUAUAUGUAUAAGAUCAAGUUGUUUUACUGUUAGUAGGCCUCAUUCACGAAUUNUAUUAUAAGUUAAUAAUAUAUAUAUAUGUAUGUAUAAGAUCAAAUCGUUUUACAGUUAGUAGGCCUCAUUCACGAAGUCGGUCUAUAAGGUUGUUGCCUAUAAAUUGGCAGCCUAAUGGGUGUCCACUCUCACCUACCGCUUCCUUGAUCGGUGGAGGGUCGUUAGCCGAACGGGUAGGACAAUGACUUUAAUUCUUGUUAAAAGUAUAAUAAUUAUAAAGUAACUUAAUGUUUUAUAAAUUCUCAAUCUUAGUACUUUAGGAAAAUGUGAAUUUGGUGCUAACCCAGGAAAUUACACUUUGCACCUUGCUUAAGUCGUUAGUGGAGUGUGUGUGGUUAACCGACAUAUUAACUUGGACUUAACAAGGUUGGCAAAGGGUGGCUUAAGGUUUAUCAUAGAUCAGUGGAGAGCGUGUGGUUAACCGGCACAUCGAUUAGGUGAUAAACAUUCAGAGUACCAAGUAAAUUUGCUUGGUUAUUCACAAAACUUGAAGGGCACAAUCGAGAUUGAAACAUGCCAUUGAAAAUUUCAAUGAAUCUCAAAAUAGUCUAGGAGUUUCAAAACCAUUUAAAACCUAAUAAUACAUUUCGUUUUCAUGGUGGAAAUUGGUGAAUCGUCAUUCAUCUACCUUAAAAUAUUUUAUAGCUUGGAUUACGACAUCCCUCUUCUAAGUUAUAAAAUAUUGUGUUGGGUCCUAGCCUUAAUAUUACAUUUGGGUGUCUUAUUAAGGACUAUAUAUAUCUAAACUAAACUUGUCUUUCUUCCUUUUUCAGAUGUCUUCCAACAAUGCUGCUUUUGGCUCAAACCCUACCGGCUCCUUCUCUCUCAUGAACCUUUUUGGGAGAGUCAUCUUUGAUGGGACUAAUUUCAAUGAUUAGAUUAGGAACAUAAGGAUGGUCACUCGCUAUAAGGACAAGGAAUAUGUCCUCAACAAUAAGCUGAAGGAACUUGAUGAGUCUUCUGCUACUCCAGAGGAGAUCACUGACUUCAGGACUCAUGAGAGAGAUGUCACUAAAGUGGCAUGUAUCAUGUUGGCCAUGAUGACAGCUGAGCUCCAAAAGUCCUAUGAUGACUUUUAUCCUUUUAAGAUGCACUAGGAUUUGAUGGAAAGAUACCAUCAGAGUACUCGUCAAGAGCGAUAUGAAAUAAUCUCCUCCAUGAUAACAACCCGAAUGAAGGAUGGUGAACCCAUCAUGGGCCACAUGCAGAAAAUGCAUUGGUUUGUGGACCGUCUAAUGAAUUUGAAUGUGAACUUCCCCGAGGAGUUGGCAAUUGACAUCAUAUUGCACUCCAUACCUUCUUGUUAUGAUCAAAUCCGAAUGACCUAUCAUAUGAACAAGGAGGAGGUCACACUCAGCAAACUUCAAGAACUUUUGAAGAUCGUCGAAAGUAUCUUAAAGGUAAAUCAGUUGUUACCACUCCUACUCCUACCGCCGCCCCUGUUCUGGCUAUCGGGCAAGGUAAAGGGAAGAAGAGGAAGAGCCCUUCGAAGGGUACCAAGGGAAAGUCUCUUGAUGGCCCCUCUUCAAGUAGAACCAAAGGUGGUUCUGUCACUCCUUCUACCAACCCUAAAGAGGUUGAAUGCUUCUAUUGCCAUGAAAAGGCGCACUGGAAACGAAAAUGCCCAAAGUACCUGCAAGAUGUUAAGGAUGGGAAAGUGAAACCCAACCAUACAGGUAUUUACACUAUAUUAUCAAAUAACUCACCAUAUUGUAAUUUUUGGGUCCUUGAUACAGGUUGUGGUAUUCACAUAUGUAACAACCCGAUAUUUCAAGUCAAUGUAAUGAUCUAAAGUCAAGUAGUGUAACCUAUUUUGAAAUAUUAAAAAUAGCAUUAAAAAAAUGUUCAAAAAUUUCAAUUUAGAUGUACUAAGUGGUAGAUAUCGUAACAAGAUUUUUAAAAAUAUAACUAACACUAAAAUCCGAGUUAUAAUGAAGAAGUUAUGAUCAAUCAAAGAUCCGUGUCAAAACCGAUAAAACACUGUUAAGUGUAAAAAGCUAAAUUUCAAUAAAAUACUUUUUAGCCUUAGGUAUCUAAACGAAAGUCGUAGAUUAUGUUAAACCGUGAACAUACGUAAAAAGAACGUCCAAAUCUGACUUUGUAUGAGGAAGUUAUGAAUUUUCGAAGUUUCGGAAUAGCAGUAGACAGCUAAAAACUCGAAAUAGCGAUCGAGUGAUUUCUAGCCGACGCAACCUAAACGAGAACCAAAGAUCUCGAAAAUAGUAGUACAACGGUAAAAAGUCUGACGAAAACUGGCGUCUGAUGAAGAAGUUCUGAAUUUUUAACGGAAUUUUCCUGUCCCGGCCUAUUAAAUAUAUAAUAUUUAAAAUAAAGACAAAAUUUGCCGACGGAGUCUAAACGAGAGUUAUAGAGUAUAAUCUGACCUACACGUGGAUAUAAAGACCGUAAAAAUCAGAGCUCGUAUACGACAUAUAUGAAUUUAUGAAGUUCGGGGCACAAACUUCCACAUAUGUGGAUUCACGUUGUGAGUCAAAGGGGGUUCACGACGUGAACCAGUGAUAGACGUUUACCAAGAGUCGGGCUAUAAGAUGUCAAGUCUACGAACUGAUCAUGACACAAUUCAUGAUGUGAACAAUUACACGUUCAUGACGUGAACUUUAAAUUUUCACCCUAUAAAUAAGAUGCGAGGCUGCCGAGUUUAUUUGCCAAUUUACAACCUCUCUCCCCUAAUUAGUCACUUUCUAGCCCUUCGAGACUACCCCGACGCCCCAGUUUCGUAUCCAAGCUUUGAUGAAAGCCCGAAGUCCCGAAGCUCCCGAGAAUACAUUUCGGUUGAAAUGCUGCCCGAGUAAAGUCUCGUUUUCUUCAAAUCAUCGCACUUACCAGGUGAGUUCAUACCCCUAUAUUUUAGGGGGGGGGGGGGGGGGAAUACAAGUGCAACACAAGAAUAACUUAUGUUAAAAACACAAAUCUUUACAUACGAUCUCUAAUGUUUCAUCUACAUUUUUGUGUGUAAAUGUUAAACACAUAAAACAACGUUAUUACUAAUAUUAUACUUUACAUACAAAGUUGGUAAUCGACCAAGGUUUUCAUUCUAAUGGAACACACUUUCGAAAAACUAUAAUAGGUAUAGUUUACAAGAUAUUCAUGAUACUUUACAUACUAUAAACACUAUAAAGAGGAAAUACUUAUAUUUACAAGAAAAAUGGACUUUUCAUACGUAAAUCUAUUGAUACUAACUUAUGUGAGCCAUUUGACUUCACCGUACUUCUAAAUACGCAUUUCAAGUCCUGUAUUAUAAACCAUAAUAUCUUGUAGGGAGAGCAUGAUACUUGUGUAUAGAUCUAUACGGGACUGACAAUCCCGCACCUAAACUGUUAGCUACAGUUAGACUGACAGGUCUGGGGUGACAAACGUCAUAACAUUUCAACGCUUGAAGAACGUUGUUACAUGCAGUAUGGGUCAAUAGCACAGUUAUAAAACUCACAUGGAGUAUUAAAACAUUUUGAUUUACGAGGUUAUCAAGCGCCUUAGUGAUUAUAUAUCCAUAUAUAAAUCUAUUUACACUAUUUUAGGUAUGGAAAAUACUUAUGCAUUUCGGUUUGGAACUUUUAAAACUACCACACAUUUAUGUAAAAUAUUGGAUUUUCUAGAAACAAACUCAGCUAUUUUAUACAGAAAGGCAUACAAUUCUAAUUCAAAAACGCUUAUGAACUCACCAACUUAAUUGUUGACACUUUUUCAAAACUACUUGUAUUUCUCAGGGAUUCGAUAAUACAGGUAAACAUUAACUUUUGGGGAAAGGACGCUAAGACGUCAGUUCAAAAAUUAUUUUAUCAUCAUAUUGUAAUUUACUUUUGAAACGUGUAAUUCAACAAUCAUGUAAACUUUUCAAUUAUAUAUAUAGUGGUUGUGUUUUCUUUCUUUACUAUUACUCAACUGUUAUGAUACUACAGGAAGUCAUCCACUCUCGAACGAUUCCGCCGUUCUGGUUCGGGGGUGUGACAGAUUAGUAGUGGAGCAUUGUUUAUAGUGAAUUAAGUAUAUCGAAUCGCAUAAGAUAUACAAACUAUAAAUGCAUAGGGACUAAAACUCUCUGACUAAACGUUUUCUCACAAAUUGUACUUCAUUAAAUUAAAAUGUUAGUUUCAUAAAAGUAUAAAUACAUGCAUGCACAACAGUUUAAUGUCGUAGUUAGAACUAUAUGAAAGUAUUAAGACAAGUUGGACACUAUGAUUAAGCCUUGGAGUACGUAAUCAGAUCAAUGAUGAAUAUAGCCUAGACCCGACAAACGUUUCGUGUCGUGUCAAGACAUUAAACGGGUUGAGGGUGCUUGACCCUAACCCGACCCGUUUAAUUAUCGUGUCGUGUCGUGUCAACCCGUUUAUUUUCGUGUCGGGUUUUGGGUUAAGGUUUAAAUCUUAUACAUAUGUUAUGACAUUCCGGGUUGAAACAUUUUAAAUGUUGAAAAUAAGAGUCAUGGAGGAAAAAAAAUGAAAAAGUGAAAUGCUGGAGUUGGGAGGUGGAACGGAAAAAAAAAUUAUACUCCUUCUGUCUCAUAUUUAUUGUUCAUUUUUUGACUUUUGAAGUUUUUAUUUUUUUACUUUGACGUUAAAUAUUUUUAUUUAUGUUAUAAAUUACUUGAUAAAGCUUAUAACAAUGAAAAGACAUUUAAAGCACAAUCCAUUCAUAUAUUUUGCAUUAAGUGUUAUAUAUCAAAAACAAAAAUAUUUAAGGUCAAAUUAGAAGAAUAAAGAAUUCAAAAGUCAAAUUGGACAAUAAAUAUGGGACGGAGGUAGUAGUAAGUUUAGAAAGCAAAAUGGAAAGAGUUAGAGUUAGGAAGCAAAUGAGAUAGGUAGUGAGGAGGAGUAAAAUUAAGUCACUUUGAAAUCUUGAAUUUUAUUUUUAGUUCUUGAAUUUGGACCACUACAAAUGUAUAAUGUUGAAAAUAUUUAUAAAAAUAUGAAAUUUAUAUAUANNNNNNNNNNNNNNNNNNNNNNNNNNNNNUAAUUGAGGGCCCCACCAUUUUUAAGACAAUGUCUUAAAAAACAAGGAGAAGAAUUAAUAACCUUUGAUUAGGUCUUAAAGUAAUCUAGACCAUGGAAUUCAUUUAAAACUAUUCAUCUAAAUCUUCAAUCCUUGUCAACCAAAAUCCACCAAUCAAAACAAAGUGUUUGAAAGUAUAUAUACAUACAAUCUAUUAAGGACUUUUUAUGGAUCAUUCGUCCUCUCACACACAUGAUAUAAUCUUAUUUAAGAGACUCUUCUCUAUCCCUCUUUACAAGAUAUAUUCUCCCUCUCAAGAAUUCUACAUCUAUACAAGCUUCAUUAGUGCUUCUAUCACAAUACUAAUGAUUCUACCAUUGUAUAUGAGUCAUGUCACCAUUGCCACAGCAGCUAUCACACUAAGUCUGUAAACGCUAAAACCACCAGAUCAACGACUGCUCCAAUGCCGACAUUACCACCACUACUUCUGCACUAUUCAUUCUUCUUAUCAGAUCUUACAACAAAAAAACAUCCGCUUCAAAUAUGUAGUAUCAAAGUAGUAUGAUCAAGGGUUUCUUUCAGGAAGUUAAAUAUAGAUCUCAUUUGUGUAAAUAAAAUCUAGAUUUGUAGUACUCAUGUUGAUCACCACACAAAUCUCAGUUCAGUAAUCCAUGUAUAUGUUGAAAUUGUAUAUAUUUAGAUUUUUUUAGCAGAAAAAGAUGAUACACUCUUUUAAUUUUUUGUAUUGUCGAAAAAAAAAGUCAAGAAAAAUAUUUGAACCAAUCUCAACGAUCAGAGGCGGAAGUGAAACUUGAUCAAGAUCUAGAUCGUCACACCAUAUUCACCAAAUAAUAUAGAGAAUAAAAAAUGCAUCAUGUUCUAAUAUGUAUCAACUAUGGGUUUGCAUCGGUUGUCUAUUUGAUAUGUAAAGAAGAAUAUCAAAAUUUGGGGGGGUUUGGGAAUCAAAAUCAGAACAAAAAAAUUUGAACUUAAAGUAAACACAAUAAAAUUUACAUGAGAACGUAAAUCAAAAAGCGUGUUAUUGUUUCUGCAUAAAAGCGAUUAUUUUUCUUCUAUAAAAGAAUAAUAAAACCAGAUAAAGUAGAACUUUGUAGAUAAAGAGAGGAAAAUACUCAUUGUUGACAGGUUUGAGUAAAGAUUGAGAUGGUCAAGAAACUUCAUUUUAUUGAUUUUGUUUUCUUUCUUUGUAACAACAUUACCCAUUAAAAAAAGUCAGACCACCAUAACCAUGUCACCACCAAACCACUAACAGCCAUCGAACCAUCAAUAGUCAUAGACCAAUCCACAAACGACAGUUGAAAACUCGAACAUCUACAAAACUCGAACCACUAAGGCCGAAUGGUAUAGUAACCACGAGGCACUUCGUGGUUGAGGUGGCCACGAACCACGCUCGUGCACACCGCCCCGGUGGUUCGUGGUAGGUCGUGGUCGUUGUCAUUCGUGUUCCCGACGACGGAUUCAAACGAGAAUGGUGAUUGGUGUUCGAAUUUUUUGGCCGUUGAACGGCUAUUUUGGCCGUUUUUUUUUCAAACACAAUUUACUAAUAUAAAUAACACUUCUAUUAUAUCAAAAUUUACACCCCAUUCUAUUCUCUAAAACCACAAAACACAUACACAUGGAUCCCACAAUACAUAUGGAGUUUUUAAAAAGUUUUGACUCGGAUGACGACGUAGAAUUCGUCGAGACAUUCUUCAAUGUUGUGCAACACCUUCACGCCGAAGAAAGUUUGAAUGCAGCGCGUACAAGGGCAGUCGUCAAUCGUGAUCGCCAAGCCGCACACGACUUAUUGGUACGUGAUUACUUUGCCGAUAAUUGUCUUUAUAAUGACGACUCAUUCGAACGUCGUUUCCGUCUGAAUAAGGCUAUAUUUUUACGUAUUAGUAAUGCUUUAGAAUCUCGUUAUGAUUUUUUCAAACAAAAACCCGACGCUAGAGGAAGAAUGGGUUUUAGUAGUAUACAAAAAUGUGCAGCUGCUCUUAGGUAUUUGGGAUACGGUAUAGCAUUUGAUGCAUCUGACGAAUACUUGAAAGUAUCCGAGAGGACCGCAGUUGAAUGCGUAGAUUGGUUUUCUGCAUGUGUUUAUGAGGUUUUUCACGAAGAAUAUUUGCGUAAACCUACUCAACGUGAUAUUGAGAGAUUAUAUUCGGCUCAUGAAGAGAGGCAUGGAUUUCCUGGUAUGCUUGGCAGUCUAGAUUGUACGCAUGUGGCUUGGGAAAAAUGUCCAACUGCAUGGCGUGGUCAGUUCACUCGAGGAGAUAUAGGUGAACCAACUAUCAUCCUAGAAGCUGUUGCAUCUCAAGAUUUGUGGAUAUGGCAUGCCUUUUUUGGAGUAGCGGGGUCUAACAACGACCUUAAUGUUCUUGGUCAGUCUCCACUUUUCAACGAUAUUUGGACCGGCAAAGCACCUGAUAUGACGUUCACGGUAAACGGGCACGCGUACAAAUAUGGUUACUACCUUGGUGAUGGGAUAUACCCGGAUUAUUCUACAUUGAUGAAGGCAUACUCAGUUCCUCGAAGUGAAAAAGCAAAAUUUUUUACAAAAAAACAGGAAUCAGCGAGAAAGGAUAUCGAGAGGGCAUUUGGAGUCCUUAAGCAAACAUGGCAUGUAGUGAAAUAUGCUACACGACUUUGGGAUAAAGAAAGAAUUAAGCGAAUGGUCCUAGCAUGUAUUAUAAUGCAUAAUAUGAUUAUUGAAGAUGAAGGUCGAGCGAUUUGCACGUAUGAUCCGAACGACGUUGUCGUUCCAAUUGAGGAGUUCGUACCCGGAACGAAUGCUUUUUUGGAGCGAGUUGUCGAAAUUCAUAACAGUGAAACGUGUUUCAAUCUUCGAGAAGAUGUCGCGGAACAUUUGUACCAACAUAGCAUGAACGACGAUUAGGAUUUUUAUAUGUAUGUUUGUUCGUUUUCUUAUUAAUGUAAUGUUUGUUUUCUAGAUUAACUAAGUAAUGUAGUUUAAAAUUGUUAUUUUAUUUUUAUAAUUAAUGAAAAAAUAGUUUUAAAAAAAUAAAUGCUUUUUACUUUUAAAAAUUGUAAUUUUAUUUUAAUUUUUGGAUUAAAAAAAANNNNNNNNNNNNNNNNNNNNNNNNNNNNNNNNNNNNNNNNNNNNNNNAUAUGUGGUAUAUGGUGGGUAUAACGGAUGGUCUAACGGCUACAAAUCAAUCAAUCACCACCGAACCGCUAGCAUACACGAACGUCGACUGCAUACCUUCUUCGACCAUGUACAACACAUCCAUAACAAUUGCCGACCACCUCAGCCCUUACGGCAUCACCAAUUUCGAACCAGAUCUGAUUUUGACAUCAUCCCACCACCAGAUGCAAAUUAGCAAAAAAAAUUUGAGCCAUCAACUACCGUGAACAAAGAAGGAUGUCUUGCGGCUGAUAGAAAAUAAACAAUUAUGGCACAAGUUUAAGAAAACUAACUCCAUUUGUGGGCUUAGUUUUUUAUAGGCUUACGUGUUUUUUUUUCUAAUCACAACACCAAAAAAAAAACAUAUAAUAACUUAGUCUUUAUUAAUUAUUUUUUAAAAAUUACAUAUCAAAAAAUAUUUAUUUUUUAGUAUCUGUUUAUAUUUCCUAUUCUAACAAAAAAAUAUAUAUAAUAUUUAUUUUAAAUUUCUCAAAAUAUACAUAAUCAAUAUAUUAUUAAAUUUAUACGAAACAUACAUAUUUAAAACAAAAUCCAUAUUAUAUUGUUAUUUUUUUAGUAAUAUGAGCAUUACCUAAAUUCAAAUUAUUAACUUCGUACCGAUAAUAUAUUAGUUUUAAUUUUUUGGUUUUGCAUGCAUUAGUUUAAAUUUAAAAAUGACAUGGGGAAAGUAAAUAAAAAAGUUGCAAGAAAAAAGUACAAGCAUGUAUGGUCUUUGUUAGCUGUCAAAAUAAAAAAAACUAGAAUUUUUUCUCAUUUAUCCAUAGGUCCACUCCCCUAAUAAUUUAUCAAUGUUUAUAUUAUAUCAAACUUAAGUUGUUGAUAUGAAAUUUUUAAUAAUUUUAUAAGUUUCGAGAAUUGUAAUAUGGAUUAUAAUAUUUUUUUUUUUUUGUUAAUCUAAUGUCUGAAGAAGGUUAAAUAUGUUAGAAAACGACGAUAGUAACUAAUAUUUAUCUGAUGAUGCUUUUGUCUCUCUUUAAUUCUUUUUCUACGAAAAUAUAAAAUAUAUAAAAUAAUAUUCUGAUGAUGGUUUUUUCUUUUUUCGUCGAAAAUAUUAAAUAUAUAAAAUAAUAUUAAGAUGAUGUCCUUGUCUUUCAUUAACUUUUUUUGUCGAAAAUAUUAAAUAUAAAAAAUAAUAUAGUGAUUCGUUAGAAGAUAAAAAUAUAUAAUAUUUAAUAUGACUAAUUUAAAAGGUAAGAACAAUCAAAAUAAAAAAAAUUCAUAUGAUAUAACUUACAAAAUUAUUAUAAAAUAUUAAAAUUUAUUCACGACCAAAUAUUCAUAUGAUCACAACAAUAUUUUUAUCUUCUAUAAAAAGUUUACACUAUAAAUGGCUUAAAAUCCAUAAAAAGACGUAUGUAUUUUUCAGACACAGAACAUAGAAGGCAUCUUAUUUCGAAAGAAAAAACUUGCUAAUUUUUGUUUCAAAUUAACGAAUUUCCUCAAAAUCACUAAAAAAUUAUUUUAAACAAAAACCAAAAUAAUUUCCUUUUUAACCGAAAUAAUAAUGAAAUUUUAUGUUUAAUGUCAAAUAGCUCGUCAGAAGGAAACUAAUCGUUGUUUUAACGCCAUAUAGAGUAUUAUAGACCAUCACUAAAAACUAAUCGUUUGAAAACUAAUCUUCGGAAUCCAACAAAUCGCCGCCACCACAUUUUUAGCCAAAGAGAUACAAACUCCUAUUUUUAACCAAAUUUUUUUUUUCAAAAAACAGUAAAAAUAUACGUUUUUAUUACAAAAACAUUUUUAAUCGUAUAUGUUUUCAAAAUUAAGCAUAUCACCACAUAAUAAAAUGAGUAUACAAUCAAACUUUUUUUUUUUCCAAAAACUAUCUUAAGAUGCCAUAAAAAAUAUUUUUUUACAAACUACACUACUAUGCAAUGCAACAUACUAAAGACUUUGAUCCUUAGGAGUUACCAAAAUUACAACAUAUUUUUCUUUUUAUCUAAAUUCAAUAUAUAUAUAUAUANUGGAGAACCUAUUCUCCGCAUACCGUAUUACGCAUCUACACACCAACCUAGAAUAUGAAAUGGAUCAUCUCAGAGAAAACAAUUCGACAAAAGGCCAAAAGGAACUAUCCGGUACUAAAAAGGAAUUAAUAGCCACAUGGAAAUUAUUCGCCGAAAAAAACUAUUCGGCGUCGCCGCAACGUGCGAGUACCCUACUAGAAAGAAAUUAUUCUUUAAAUGAAACCAAUCGCCGUCCGUUGCCAGAUAAAAAAUAACAGAAUGAAAUUACUAUUUGUUGGCCGUCUAGAGACAACUGAUCGCCGAAAGAAACAAACCGUCAGAAUGAAAAAUAAUCGAAAUGAAACGAUUUGACGACCACCAAAAUAACACUAACUUUCGUNNNNNNNNNNNNNNNNNNNNNNNNNNNNNNNNNNNNNNNNNNNNNNNNNNNNNNNNNNNNNNNNNNNNNNNNNNNNNNNNNNNNNNNNNNNNNNNNNNNNNNNNNNNNNNNNNNNNNNNNNNNNNNNNNNNNNNNNNNNNNNNNNNNNNNNNNNNNNNNNNNNNNNNNNNNNNNNNNNNNNNNNNNNNNNNNNNNNNNNNNNNNNNNNNNNNNNNNNNNNNNNNNNNNNNNNNNNNNNNNNNNNNNNNNNNNNNNNNNNNNNNNNNNNNNNNNNNNNNNNNNNNNNNNNNNNNNNNAGAGUUAGGUUCAAAUGUUUUUAGCAAGUAUUGUGUGCCUAAAUGCACCAAUGAGAAUUCAGGAAUUAAUAAAUCAUUAAAUAAAUUAAAAAGGGUAUAAUGGUAAACUUGGUUUAUCUAAUUAUGGUAAAAAAAUAUUUCAAUUAAUCUCUCCUUAAUUAGUUAAACCCUACCAAACUAACAUCCCUUUAUCAGUCGGCCGUCGAUCACAAAAUCAUCUCGUCUCAAAAUAAUUUCUCGAGAAUUUCUUGUAGGAGAAUGGAAGUUUUAAUCGAAGAUUUACGAUGGAGAAGACAGUGGUGUAUGGCAGGGAGCCACCCUUGAAGCCUUAAACCCGACAGGAAAACGAGUGGGGGAUGAGAGAACUUGGUGGUGGUCGAUGAUUCUAUGGGUGUUUGGCUGUUGUUGAUUUACAGAAAGAACGAGGGAGGAAGGAUUUGCAGCCAAUAACGUGGGUGGUGACAAACAGCAUCUCCGAUGAGGGUGGUUUGGCAGUGACGAUCGACGGGAAGUAAGGGAAAGGGUCUCCGGUCUUUGACUGGCCGCAGGAGGUGUUAUCAUUCGUCGAUCAAGGGGUGUUUGGCUGGUUUACCGGUCGUCGAUCAUCAAUCAGGUAAAAAAAUUCUUUUUUUUAUUUGAUGUUUAAUAGAAAUCAUUGGGGUGUUUGGGUUUUCCUGGAAAAUUGAUAUAAUGAAGGGGAUAUGGGUUUGAGUUUUGAAGGAAAUCCAUGGGUGUUUUGAUUGGGUGUUUGAGCUUUGCUGUUUUGACAGAGAAAAUGAAGGAGAAGCAAUGAAGGUGUGAUGUCCCAUUUUCUUGAUUGAUUUGUCAAGAACAACACCGUGUUCUUGACUGGAACGUGAUACUUAGAAGAAGAAAUAAGGUAACUGGAUGUUGCUUCUUUGGUGAUUCAUUGACUGUCAAUCAAAAGGAAACACAUGUUGAAACAGAAUAAAAGUUAAUUUAAAACUCAAUCAGGUGUCUUAUUUUCUUUAUUGAUUACAAUAUUCUAUUAUCUGAGAUUUGAUCAGUGUGUUUCGAUUUUACUGCAAUUGGAUGGUUUUGUUAUGAAAAAAUUAACAGUUGCCCUAAAAGUGUUUGAUGAAAUGCCAAAGAGAAAUAUUACCGUAUUGAUCACUCAACAUGUCAUGGCUUCAAAUUGUAUUCAUGGUUAGUGAUUGAAUUUUUAUCGAAUGUUUAUCGAUUCUGCAUAUCAUCUCUAUUAUUCUACUGAUUUAUGCAUUUUUCACUUUGAUAUUUUUCCAAUAGAAUGCAUAUGGUAACUGAAUCUUGAAUUCAAAUUCUAUCGGAAUGGAAUCAAGAAUUUCAAUUCUGUUGGAAUGGAAUAUGAAUAUUUUUUAUAGUUUUUAUUCUAUUAGAAACCGAACACAGGAGGUAUAACCUCUUGUGUAACUCAUUUACUUUGCAAACUUUAUUAAUUAAAAUGAACCAUCAUCUAUGAACUUUUCAUCCAAUUGCUUUUUGAUUUUGAUUUUGAAUCACGAAUUCCAGUUCUGUUGGAAUGGAAUAUGGAUUAAUUGUUUUAUUCUAUUUAAUGCACUAAAAUUUUUAUUAUUUUGAAAAUUGAUUAUGUUUUCCUUGUGAAUUUAGGUUUUGAAGAUGUUGCCAUUAAUGUGGAAAAUGAAGAAAACAUGGAGAACGAUAUUUGUAUUCUAACAGAAUGUAUUCUGUCAGAAUUUAUAAAUUGUUUCUUAGCAAUAAUAUUCUUUCGGAAUAGAGUAGUGUUUUUGUUAGAUUUUGAUGGUUUUUUUCCUUUUUAACCAUUUUUAGUUUUAAUCUUUAAGAAUAAAUGUAAUCAUUAAACCAUUAUUAGUCAUAAUUUUUUUUAGAAUGAUUGUAAUAAUUGUUUAUAGUAUUUUUCUUUACCGAUGAAUGUAAAUAUUGAUUCUUAAAGAAUAAAAUCCGUAUUCUUUAGAAAAUGUUAUUCUUGAAAUAUGUUUAUUAGUUUAUUCUUUAUAAAAAAAUAUAUUAAAUGAAACAAUAUUCUGCAAGAAUAAAACCGCAAUAUGUUUAUUAGUUUAUUCUUGAUUUUUUUGUCAUUCUGACAGAAUAAAAUCGGUUGUUAUUAAAAGUAAUAUUAAAAUUUGAAUUAGAAUUAAUUUAAAAAAUUCAGAUUUUUUAAAAAUAAGGGAAUUAAUGAUCCCUUAAAAUCCGAAAAUUUCCUUUUUUAAAAUAGGUUAAUUGACCAAAAUACCCUUUUGCUGAAAUUUGUGUGAUUAUAGGAUACAUGAUACCCUAUUGUAAUAUCAUAGACCCUCAGAUCAUGAUUGUUGAUUCUAUUCAUCCGGUGGUCCAGAUCUGUGCAUUCUGGCACACAAUAGUUACUAGAAACAAUAUAACCUAACCCUAUAUAUAUAUAUAUAUAUAUNAACAUAUAAUAUAUUUAUAAAAAUAUGAAAAUUAUAAUAAAUAAUAUAUAAUUAAACGGGUCAUAUUCGAGUCAUCUUCGAGUUGAAAGUCUUGACCCUAACCCUACCCGUUUAAUUAUUGUGUCGUGUCGUGUCAACCCGCGUACAUAAACAGGUCGAAAUCUCUGACCCUAACCCGCUAACUUCGUGUCGGGUUGUCGUGUCCUGCCAGAUUUUGUCAUGUCUAAUAUAGCCUGAUCAACUAUAUUUAUCCGAGAUAUGACCAACGUAUGUCGGGGAAUAGUCGUAGUGAGCAACAAGUCAAAAACUUACCAAAGUAACACUAGAAUCAAACUUUCAAAUUCAUAUACUAUAGGAGUAUUUUUUUUGACACUAUAAAAACUGUAAUAAACGUGUAAACCUCGAUAUUUCAUUAGAACUAGGAAUUGUCAAAUAAAUAGGAGGACUGGGUGUAGGCCUUAACGUAAAAUUUUCAUUCUACACUCAAAUUUUAUAUAUAUUGCUCUUAUCUCUAUUCUCGAUCAGGUGAAAUGGCAGGAUUUCAAAUACCCGGGGAUCCCUACUACCCUAACCAGGGCAAUGGAGGCUGGGUUGAGGAAGAUCCAGAAGAGGAUCUCGAAGAGAUUUUCGAGGAAGAUCCAGAAGAGGAUCCCGAGGAAAUUUUUGAAGAGGACCAAGAAGAAGAUCCCGAAGAGGAAGAAGAGGAAGAAGCUGAUGGGGGCACUGACUCAGAACCAAAGGUCUACAAUCCUCCCCAGGAAGCACCAAAUCCCCGAUGGAACUUUCAGGGCCCGACGCCCCGUUGGGCUGUAGAUCUGAAACAAUGGAUCCAGGAACAAGGACAGUGCCCGUCCUACGGCAUGGGACAAGGCUUUUAUAACCUCAGUAACGUAGGUUCGGCUGACAGAGCACUCCCUGUCAUGGUUCUUCGCAUCGCCAAUCAAGGCGAGCAAGCUAGAGUGAACGCCAACCAGAUCAUGGACGUUGGUGCCACCGCCCAAGUCACGACAAUACGUCUUCGUCGCCUGGACGAAGAACAUGAGCAAACAAUAAAGCACACCUUUUCCAUUUAGAAAGACAUUACCACUGCUAGAGCCGAGGCGAGGGAGUUUCGGAAAAGCCAAUCCGCAAAGGAGAGGCGCGUUAUCAAGGCUGAACGUCAAUUAGAUCGAGCUCAGACUUCCACGACCACAUACCAUGGUUCGCAACGUACCACCCAUUUCGGAGUAGAGCGUGUACUACUUGCUCUAUGUAUAUACUUAUCAAGUGAGCGUUGGUGCCACUCUUUCUUUUAUAUAUGUAAACCCAACGGAUUGUGAGUACACAAUUCGAGGGUCUGAAUGCUGCCAAAUUUUCCCAUUUUCAUUGAUGUACUCUAGACUUGUGUUAAGGUCAAAUUUUCCCGAUCGAUGUAUCAAAUAUUAAUAUCAAUGAGAUUGACACGCAAUUAUCACUUCAUGGGGUAUUUCAUUUAGUUUUUAAAAUGUUAAUCAUGUACUUAUUGUUGUAAGUUUCCAUUUUCGCAAUUAACUUACAAUUCGGUAAUGUUCGGAAUGUAAAGCACUCCAUAACCAUUUCUGAAGACUUAUCAAGAAUUCGUCUUUUAAUUUAUGGCAGAAUCAUGCCACCAAGAAGAAAUCCCCGACACAUCAAUACUACAGGACCACUACCACCUCCUCCACCACCACCACCUCCAUCGAUGGACAAUACUGUUUUUCAGGCUGCUGUAACAUCUGCCGUGACAGCAGCAAUGGCACAAAUGAGUAACAACGGGUCGGGAGGAGGAAGAAAUAGCUCUACUAAUGGUCAGCACCAAGGUCGUUCCGGGGAAUGCACUUACAAGGACUUAACCAAUAGCAAACCUGUAUCCUUUAAUGGGACUGGAGGAAUAAUGGCUCUAUCUCAACGGAUUGAGAAAACAGAAGCAGUAUUCAAGAUCUGCUCAUGUCCAGAAGGGAGCAAUGUAAAAUUUGCUGCCUACACUUUCUCCGAACGAGCCCUAUCAUGGUGGAAUGGCCACGUUAAGUCACUAACUAUGGUAGUGGCUAACUCCAUGGGUUGGAAAAACCUGAAACAAAUGCUCAUGCAAGAAUACUGCCCGAGAGGCGGAGUACAGAAGCUCGAAUAAGAGCUUUGGGUCCUAACUAUGAUAGGUUCGGACAUCACUAGGUUUAGUGACCUAGCAAUACUUUUCCUAGGAAUGGUUGCUCUGGAGAGCAAGAAGAUCAAAAGGUAUAUCUGGGGGCGUCACUUCAGAUCCAAGGAAGUGUAUUGGCUUUUAAACUAGUUACUUUUGAUAGUGCCAAAAAACUGGCACAGUCCCUUGUUGACCAUGGAGUCCGCCAAGGCUUCAUGACUAUUGUCCUAGAACAAACCAGAGGAAGCAACAACAAUAACAACGAUGCCAACAACAACAAGAAGAAGAAGUUUUGGAACAAGAUGAAGGGUCAAUCUUCACAAGAACCUUCCAAGAAACAACAGAUAGUGGCAGUCCAUGCCGCUACUACUCCCACUGUUGUUCCUGUUACCCCUACACCAUCAAAGCAAUAUGCUGGAAACCUACCGAAGUGCGGUAAGUGCAAUUUCCAUCACAACGGAAAUUGCCGAGAGAUGCACUGUAAUAACUGCAACAGGAAAGGGCACACUCCCCAUUUUUGUAAGGUGCCAGCAUAACAAAUCUAACAAGUUCUUGGAGUCGGUGUGGGCCAAGCGUGUUAUGGGUGUGGUGAAGCUGGGCACUACAAGAGAGAUUUCCCUAAGGCAAGGAAUGUUGGAGGCGUAGGAAGAGUGCUGGUAAUAGGGCAGAACGAGGCAAUAGCUGACCCCACGGUGGUUACGAGUACGUUUCUCCUCAACAACACUUAUGCAUGCAUACUCUUUGAUUAUGGUGCGGAGAGGAGUUUUGUGAGCCAUGAAUUCAAACACUUAUUUAAACAAAACCCACAAUCACUCAAUAAGAUAUUUAUAGUAGAAAUGGAAAACAGGAAAACAGAAAGCACAAACGAUAUGUACGUAGGUUGCACACUAGCUCUAACUGAACACUCUUUCCAAAUGGAUCUAAUGACGAUCAUUAUAAGAAGCUUUGAUUUCAUCAUCCGUAUGGAUUGGUUAAGCCUUCACCAUGCCGAUAUACUUUGUCACGAAAGGGCCGUUCACCUUAAUAUGCCAAAAGGCGAAACUCUUGUCAUUUAUGGUGACAAACCCAGUACCAACUUACAAAUCAUUGCUUGCGUCAAGGCCCAAAAAUAUUUAAGCAAGGAAUGUCAUGCGUUCUUGGCACACGUCUUAGAUGUGAAACGAGGAGUAGAGGACAUCAAGAGUGUGCUAGACGUCUAUGAUUUUCCCGAUAUCUUUCUCGAUGAUCUUCCAGGAGUACCUCCUGCAAGACAAGUCGAAUUCAGAAUCGACUUGAUUCCCGGAGCUACCCCGAUAGCAAAAUAUUCGUACCGACUAGCAUCAGCAGAGAUGCAAGAAUUAUCCAGCCAACUGAACGAACUACUCACCAAGGGAUUCAUCAGACCGAGCUUGUCACCUUGGGGAGCACUGGUUCUGUUCAUAAAGAAGAAGGAUGGAUCUUUCCACAUGUGCAUCGAUUACCGGGAACUAAACAAGCUCACAAUCAAGAACUGAUAUUCCCUACCGCGCAUAGACGAUCUGUUCGACUAGCUCCAAGGAGCAAGCUACUUCUCAAAUAUCAAUUUAAGAUCCGAGUAUCACCAGCUGCGUAUCCUGGAAGGAGAUGUUCCCAAGAUGGCAUUCCGAACUCGUUAUGGUCACUACAAGUUUGUAGUGAUGCCCUUUGUAUUAACAAAUGCACCGGCGGUAUUCAUGGACUUAAUGAACAGGGUAUGUCGUUCGUUCCUAAACAAAUUUGCGAUCGUAGUCAUACACGACAUACUCAUUUAUUCAAGGAGUAAAGAAGAACAUGGUCAGCACCUGAGACAAAUCUUGGAGACACUACGAGCAGAGAAGCUUUACGCAAAGUUCUCAAAGUGCGAGCUUUGGAUUAGGAAAGUGGACUUUCUAGGCCACGUAGUCAGCAAAGAGGGAAUCCACGUGGACCCUUCCAAAAUCAAGGCAAUCAAGAUUUGGUCAACACCGAAGACACCAACCGAAAUUCGCCAAUUCCUAGGACUUGCUGGCUAUUACCGCAGGUUCAUACAGAACUUCUCCAGCAUCGCAAAACCCCUUACCACUCUGACGCAAAAGGGAGUACCUUUCAAUUGGGGAGAAAAGCAAGAUGCUGCAUUCCAAACUCUGAAACAAGCCUUACGUAGUGCACCCAUUUUGUCUCUUCCAGAAGGGACAGAAGACUUCGUAGUAUACUACGAUGCGUCCAAUCAAGUGCUAGGUUGUGUGCUGAUGCAACGAGGAAAGGUUAAUGCUUACACCUCACAACAACUAAAAACACACGAGGUCAACUACACCACUCAUGACCUAGAGCUUGGAGCAGUAGUGUUCGCUCUGAAGAUUUGGAGGCACUACCUAUACGGAACAAAGUGCACCAUCUUCACAGACCACAAGAGCCUUUAACACAUAUUCGACCUGAAGGAGCUAAAUAUGAGACAACAAUGUUUGGUCGAACUACUCAACGACUACGAAUGUGAAAUUCGUUAUCAUCCCGGUAAAGCCAAUGUAGUGGCGGAUGCCUUAAGUCGAAAGGAGUACUUUGGUAUAAGAGUGAAAAUGCUAACCAUGACAAUACAUUCACACCUGUCAACGCAAAUCAAGGAACCCCAACUACAAGCCUUGAAACUAGAAAACAUGACAGGUGAAGCACUUAGAGUAAUGGACAAGCAUCUAAAAAUCAAAAGUGAUGGAGUUCAUUAUCUCAUGAAUUGAAUAUGGACACCGAAAUUUGGUGGAUUCAGAGAGGUGGUCAUGGAUGAAGCACACAAGACUCGAUACUCCGUACACCCAGGUUCAGAUAAGAUGUAUCUGGAUCUCAAACAACUCUAUUGGUGGCCAAACAUGAAAGCAGAUAUUGCUACCUACGUUGGCAAGUGCUUAACUUGUGCCAAGAUCAAGGUAGAACACCAAAAACCCUCAGGAAUACUCAACCCGAAAUACCUGAGUGGAAGUAGGAGUAGAUUGUUAUGGAUUUCAUAACCAAACUACCCAAGAUGCAAGGUGUUCACAAUACCAGUUGGGUGAUUGUCGACAGGUUAACCAAGUCUGCCCAUUUCUUGCCAAUCAAGGAGACCGAUAAGAUGGAGAAACUGACAAGAACUUAUAUCCGGGAAAUUGUGCGACUUCAUGGAGUACCAAUAUCCAUUAUCUUAGACAAAGAUAGUAGAUUCACCUCACGGUUCUGGCAAUCGCUACAAAAAUCUCUAGGAAUGAGACUAGACAUGAGUACCGCUUACCACCCACAAACCGACGGUCAGAGUGAAAGGACCAUUCAGACCUUGGAGGAUAUGCUAAGAGCUUGUGUGAUUGAUUUUGGUUAGGCAUGGGAUAUCCAUUUACCACUGGUCGAGUUCUCGUACAACAAUAGCUAUCACACUAGCAUCAAGUUUGCUCCAUUUGAAGCCCUCUACAGCCGCAAGUGCAGAUCACCUCUAUGCUGGGAGGAAGUGGGUGACAAGUAGAUGGCGAGACGCCUAGUCCCUGAUAACACUCUCACUGGACUGGAAAUCAUUAGAGAGACGACUGAAAAGGUCGUCCAAAUCUUUGAAUGAUUAAAACCUCAAGAGAUAGACAAAAGAGAUAUGCCGACAAGAGACGAAAACCCUUGGAAUUUCAGGUUGGUGACCGCGUUCUACUAAAGGUCUCUCCCUGGAAGGGCAUGAUACGCUUUGGGAGGCAUGGAAAACUAAACCCAAGGUACAUUGGACCCUUCAAAGUUACUAAAAGGAUUGGUCCAAAUACCACUUGAACUUAACAACGUACAUCCUGUGUUUCGCGUGUCUAAUCUAAAGAAGUGUCUAUCUGAUGAAACCCUUGUAAUUCCACUUGAGGAAAUCGAAUUGAACGAAAAUCUUAACUUUGUGGAAGAACCCUUCGAAAUCAUGGAUAGGGAAGUCAAACGAACAAAGCAAAUUUGCAUACCAAUAGUGAAGGUUCGCUGGAACGCUAAGCGGGGACCUGAAUUCACGUGGGAGCGAGAAGAUCAGAUGCAACAAAAGUACCCGCAUCUCUUCCCUAUUCCAUAAACACUUACUUUGUAAAUAAUUUCAGGAUGAAAUUCCCUCUAACGGGGGGAUGAUGUAACAACCCGAUAUUUCAAGUCAAUGUAAUGAUCUAAAGUCAAGUAGUGUAACCUAUUUUGAAAUAUUAAAAAUAACGUCAAAAAUAAAAUGUUCAAAAAUCUCAAUUUAGAUGUACUAAGUGGUAGAUAUCGUAACAAUAUUUUCAAAAAUAUAAAUAAUAUUAAAAUCCGAGUUAUAACGAAGAAGUUAUGAACGACCAAAGAUCCGUGUCAAAACCGGUAAAACACUGUUAAGUGUAAAAAGAGAAAUUUCAAUAAAAUACUUUUUAGCCUUAGGUAUCUAAACGAAAGUCGUAGAUUAUGUUAAACCGUGAACAUACAUAAAAAGAACGUCCAAAUCUAACUUUGUAUGAGGAAGUUAUGAAUUUUUGAAGUUUCAGAAUAGCAUUAGACAACUAAAAACUCGAAAUAGCGAUCGAGUGCUUUCUAGUCGACGCAACCUAAAUGGGAACCGAAGAUCUCGACAAUAGUAGUACAACGGUAAAAAGUAUGAUAUAAAUAUAAUAUUUAAAAUAAAGUCAAAAUUUGCUGACAGAGUGUAAAUGAGAGUUGUAGAGUAUAAUCUCACCUACGCAUUGAUAUAAAGACCCUAAAAAACAGAGCUUGUAUGCGAAAGAUAUGAAUUUAUGAAGUUUAGGGCACAAACUUCCACAUCUGUCAGGAUUCACGUCGUGAGUCAAAGGGGGUUCACGACAUGAACCAGUGAUAGACGUUUACCAAGAGUCGGGCUAUAAGAUGUCGAGUCUAUGAACUCAUCAUGACACAAUUCACGAUGUGAACAAUUCCAUGUUUACGACGUGAAAUUCAUUUUUUCACCCUAUAAAUAAGAUGCGAGGCUAUCGAGUUUAUUUGCCAGUUUAUUUGACAGAGUGUAAAUGAGAGUUGUAGAGUAUAAUCUCACCUACGCAUUGAUAUAAAGACCCUAAAAAACAGAGCUUGUAUGCGAAAGAUAUGAAUUUAUGAAGUUUAGGGCACAAACUUCCACAUCUGUCAGGAUUCACGUCGUGAGUCAAAGGGGGUUCACGACGUGAACCAGUGAUAGACGUUUACCAAGAGUCGGGCUAUAAGAUGUCGAGUCUACGAACUCAUCAUGACACAAUUCACGAUGUGAACAAUUCCACGUUUACGAUGUGAAAUUCGUUUUUUCACCCUAUAAAUAAGAUGCGAGGCUAUCGAGUUUAUUUGCCAGUUUACAACCUCUCUCCCCUAAUUUCUCACUUUCUAGCCCCUUGAGACCACCCCGAUGCCCCGGUUUCAUAUCCAAGCUUUGACGAAAGCCCAAAGUCCCGAAGCUCCCGAGAAAUUUAUUACAUUCCGGUCGAAGUACUACCCGAGUAAAGUCUCGUUUUCUUCAAAUCAUCGCACUUACCAGGUGAGUUCAUACCCCUAUAUUUCACGUCUUUUCUAUAUGUUAGGGGGGAGGGGGGGUGGGAAAUACAAGUGCAUCAAAAGAAUAACUUAUGUUAAAAACACAGAUCUUUACAUACGGUCUCUAAUGUUUCAUCUACAUUUUUGUGUAUAAAUGUUAAACACGUAAAACAACGUUAUUACUAAUGUUAUACUUUACAUACAAAGUUGGUAAUACACCAAGGUUUUCAUUCUAAUGGAACACACUUUCAAAAAACUAUAAUAGGUAUAGUUUACAAGAUAUUCAUAAUACUUUACAUACUAUAAACACUAUAAAGAGGAAAUACUUAUAUUUACAAGAAAAAUGGAUUUUUCAUAUGUAAAUCUAUUGAUACUAACUUAUGUGAGACAUUUAACUUCACCGUACUUCUAAAUACGCAUUUCAAGUCCUUUAUUAUAAACUAUAAUCUCUUGUAUCAAGAGCAUGAUACUUGUGUAUAGAUCUAUACGGGACUGACAAUCCCACACCUAAAUUGUUAGCUACAGUUAGACCGGCAGGGAUGGGGGGACAAAAGUCAUAACAUUUUNNNNNNNNGACAAAAUUCUUAACAUUUCAACGCCUGAAGAACGUUGUUACAGGCAGUCUGGGUCAAUAGCACGGUUAUAAAACUCACAUGGAGUAUUAAAACAUUUUGAUUUACGGGGCUAUCAAGCGCCUUAGUGAUUAUAUAUCCAUAUAUAAAUCUAUUUACGUUAUUUUAGGUAUGGAAAAUACUUAUUCAUUUCGGUUUGGAACUUUUAAAACUACCACACAUUUAUGGAAAAUAUUGGAUUUUCUAGAAACAAACUCAGUUAUUUUAUACAUAAAGGCAUACAAUUCUAAUAUAAAAACGCUUAUGAACUCACCAACUUAAUUGUUGACACUUUUUCAAAACUACUUGUAUUUCUCAGUGAUUUAGUAAUGCAGGUAAACAUCAGUUUUUGGGGAAAGGACGAUAAGACGUUAGUUCAAAACUUAUUUUAUCAUCAUAAUGUAAUUUACUUUUGAAACAUGUAAUUCAAAAAUCAUGUAAACUUUUCAAUUAUAUAUAUGGUGCUUGUGUUUGCAUUCUUUACUAUUACUCAACUGUUAUGAUACUACAGGAAGUCAUCCACCCUCGAACGAUUCCACCGUUCUGGUUCGGGGGUGUGACAACAUAUGUUCUGAUUUGCAGGGACUAAGAAGAAGUGAGAAUGUGGAUCAUGGAAAGAUAAACUUGAUCAUGGGGAAUAGGAAAGAUUCACCUGUCAUCAAGAUUGAAGUUUAUUCUUUGUUGCUAAGUACACUACUAGAAAAUCGUGAUUUUGCUACGGAAGGAAUCUGUUGCGAAAAUUUGAAAUCCUGUUGCAAAAGACGAAUAGCGACAAAAUUUGCAACGACAUAUUUCCGUCCCUAAAAACGCCGUAGCGAGGGGUUUGCAAUGGAAACGAUAAUUCUGUCGCAAUUGUGACAACGGAAUGAAAUCCGUGGUAGAUGGUAUUCUGUCGUGUAUUUCGUAGUAG
This 44382-nucleotide long non-coding RNA is filed under the name Lactuca sativa (garden lettuce). RNAcentral describes it as "long non-coding RNA (LSAT_LNC003773)". Lineage: Eukaryota; Viridiplantae; Streptophyta; Magnoliopsida; Asterales; Asteraceae. The record is from RNAcentral.